GUUAGGAAUAUUGGACAAUGGGCGCAAGCCUGAUCCAGCCAUGCCGCGUGAACGAUGAAGGCCUUCGGGUUGUAAAGUUCUUUAGCCGAUGAUUAUAAUGACUGUAGUCGGAAAAUAAGCCCCGGCUAACUUCGUGCCAGCAGCCGCGGUAAUACGAAGGGGGCGAGCGUUAUUCGGAAUCACUGGGCGUAAAGCGUGCGUAGGCGGUCUCGUAAGUUAGGAGUGAAAGCCCAGGGCUCAACCUUGGAAUUGCUCUUAAAACUGCAAGGCUAGAAUCUCGGAGAGGAUAGCGGAAUUCCCAGUGUAGCAGUGAAAUGCGUAGAUAUUGGAAGGAACACCAGUGGCGUAAGCGGCUAUCUGGACGAGUAUUGACGCUGAGGCACGAAAGCGUGGGGAUCAAACAGGAUUAGAAACCCUGGUAGUCC
RNAcentral lists this ribosomal RNA (425 nucleotides) under uncultured bacterium. Its description in RNAcentral is "partial 16S ribosomal RNA". It matches the Rfam family "Bacterial small subunit ribosomal RNA", at positions 354 to 796 of the family's 1533-position model. The record is from RNAcentral.